UAGUUCAGUCGGUAAAGAAUCUGCCUGUAAUGCAGAAGACCUAGGUUCAAUUCCUGG
Molecule: transfer RNA, 57 nt
Filed under: Bos indicus x Bos taurus (hybrid cattle)
Lineage: Eukaryota; Metazoa; Chordata; Mammalia; Artiodactyla; Bovidae
Rfam family: tRNA
About the family: Transfer RNA (tRNA) molecules are approximately 80 nucleotides in length. Their secondary structure includes four short double-helical elements and three loops (D, anti-codon, and T loops). Further hydrogen bonds mediate the characteristic L-shaped molecular structure. tRNAs have two regions of fundamental functional importance: the anti-codon, which is responsible for specific mRNA codon recognition, and the 3' end, to which the tRNAs corresponding amino acid is attached (by aminoacyl-tRNA synthetases). tRNAs cope with the degeneracy of the genetic code in two manners: having more than one tRNA (with a specific anti-codon) for a particular amino acid; and 'wobble' base-pairing, i.e. permitting non-standard base-pairing at the 3rd anti-codon position.
Source: Rfam by way of RNAcentral